RNAcentral lists this ribosomal RNA (572 nucleotides) under uncultured bacterium. RNAcentral describes it as "partial 16S ribosomal RNA". It matches the Rfam family "Bacterial small subunit ribosomal RNA", at positions 355 to 919 of the family's 1533-position model. The record is from RNAcentral.
UGGGGAAUUUUGGACAAUGGGCGAAAGCCUGAUCCAGCAAUGCCGCGUGUGUGAAGAAGGCCUUCGGGUUGUAAAGCACUUUUGUCCGGAAAGAAAUCCUUGGCUCUAAUACAGUCGGGGGAUGACGGUACCGGAAGAAUAAGCACCGGCUAACUACGUGCCAGCAGCCGCGGUAAUACGUAGGGUGCAAGCGUUAAUCGGAAUUACUGGGCGUAAAGCGUGCGCAGGCGGUUUGCUAAGACCGAUGUGAAAUCCCCGGGCUCAACCUGGGAACUGCAUUGGUGACUGGCAGGCUAGAGUAUGGCAGAGGGGGGUAGAAUUCCACGUGUAGCAGUGAAAUGCGUAGAGAUGUGGAGGAAUACCGAUGGCGAAGGCAGCCCCCUGGGCCAAAUACUGACGCUCAUGCCACGAAAGCGUGGGGAGCAAACAGGAUUAGAUACCCUGGUAGUCCACGCCCUAAACGAUGUCAACUAGUUGUUGGGGAUUCAUUUCCUAGUAACGUAGCUAACGCGUGAAGUUGACCGCCUGGGGAGUACGGUCGCAAGAUUAAAACUUAAAUGAAUUGACGGGGU